RNAcentral lists this ribosomal RNA (274 nucleotides) under uncultured bacterium. Its description in RNAcentral is "partial 16S ribosomal RNA". It matches the Rfam family "Bacterial small subunit ribosomal RNA", at positions 523 to 796 of the family's 1533-position model. The record is from RNAcentral.
CUACGGAGGGUGCAAGCGUUAUUCGGAAUCACUGGGCGUAAAGGGUGCGUAGGCGGUUUGAUAAGUCUGAUGUGAAAUCCUAUGGCUCAACCAUAGAACUGCAUUGGAAACUGUCAGACUAGAAUACUGAAGGGGCAGAUGGAAUUAGCGGUGUAGGGGUAAAAUUCGUAGAUAUCACUAGGAAUACCGAAAGCGAAAGCGAUCUGCUGGGAAGUUAUUGACGCUGAGGCACGAAAGCGUGGGGAGCAAACGGGAUUAGAAACCCCAGUAGUCC